Molecule: ribosomal RNA, 491 nt
Filed under: uncultured bacterium
Lineage: Bacteria
Description: bacterial SSU rRNA
Rfam family: Bacterial small subunit ribosomal RNA
Source: RNAcentral
AGUUUGAUCCUGGCUCAGAUUGAACGCUGGCGGCAUGCCUUACACAUGCAAGUCGAACGGUAACAGGUCUUCGGAUGCUGACGAGUGGCGAACGGGUGAGUAAUACAUCGGAACGUGCCCGAUCGUGGGGGAUAACGGAGCGAAAGCUUUGCUAAUACCGCAUACGAUCUACGGAUGAAAGCGGGGGAUCGCAAGACCUCGCGCGGACGGAGCGGCCGAUGGCAGAUUAGGUAGUUGGUGAGGUAAAGGCUCACCAAGCCGUCGAUCUGUAGCUGGUCUGAGAGGACGACCAGCCACACUGGGACUGAGACACGGCCCAGACUCCUACGGGAGGCAGCAGUGGGGAAUAUUGGACAAUGGGCGAAAGCCUGAUCCAGCAAUGCCGCGUGAGUGAUGAAGGCCUUAGGGUUGUAAAGCUCUUUUACCCGGGAUGAUAAUGACAGUACCGGGAGAAUAAGCUCCGGCUAACUCCGUGCCAGCAGCCGCGGUAA